This 549-nucleotide long non-coding RNA is filed under the name Homo sapiens (human). RNAcentral describes it as "HSALNT0036417". The record is from RNAcentral. Lineage: Eukaryota; Metazoa; Chordata; Mammalia; Primates; Hominidae.
UGUGGCUGCUAUGGUGGAAGCAGCUCCUCCCCGGCCGCUCGGUGCCUGAGCAUGGUGAACCUGUUGCUCCAGAUGGCUUGUUUAUGCUGUUCAACAUAAGAGAUCAUUGAGAGCUCAUGCUUCUGUCUGGAUCACUAGACACAAUGCACCUGGAUGACAAAUCAAUUUCCUCUCUGCUCUAUGAGGCUUCGAAGUCAAAAACAAAGCACAUUCUGGUGUGUAAGCUGAGGUGACGGCGUAGUUUGAUAAGGAAAAUUUCCAGGAUGGCCACUCUUAAAAGGCAAGCAUCUGAGUUACUCAUUCAUUGGCUCCCGUUUUCUAUAAACAGAACCGGCCAUAUGUCUCUAUGGUCACCGGGCUUUGUGGAUUUGGAAGAGAUUGGUAACCACUUGACCAGCUCCACCACCAAUUCCAGCUGAAAUACAAAGGAAGGAAAGGCCCCAGGAAAAGGGGGUGACAGAUUCCAAAGACUAAUUCACCCAUUUCAAGAUUUCUCCAGGCUUCAAUCCUGUUCUGUCUUCAACUGUGUGUGAACAAGUAAAGGAAAAU